AGUGAACGCUGGCGGUAGGCCUAACACAUGCAAGUCGAACGGCAGCACAGUAAGAGCUUGCUCUUACGGGUGGCGAGUGGCGGACGGGUGAGGCAUACAUCGGAAUCUACUUUUUCGUGGGUGAUAACGUAGGGAAACUUACGCUAAUACCGCAUACGACCUACGGGUGAAAGCAGUGGAUCUUCGGACCUUGCGCGAUUGAAUGAGCCGAUGUCGGAUUAGCUAGUUGGCGGGGUAAAGGCCCACCAAGGCGACGAUCCGUAGCUGGUCUGAGAGGAUGAUCAGCCACACUGGAACUGAGACACGGUCCAGACUCCUACGGGAGGCAGCAGUGGGGAAUAUUGGACAAUGGGCGCAAGCCUGAUCCAGCCAUACCGCGUGAGUGAAGAAGGCCUUCGGGUUGUAAAGCCCUGUUGUUGGGAAAGAAAAGCAGCAGGUUAAUACCCCGCUGUUCUGACGGUACCCAAAGAAUAAGCACCGGCUAACUUCGUG
This 492-nucleotide ribosomal RNA is filed under the name uncultured bacterium. RNAcentral's name for it is "partial 16S ribosomal RNA". It matches the Rfam family "Bacterial small subunit ribosomal RNA", at positions 29 to 507 of the family's 1533-position model. The record is from RNAcentral.